AUGAACGCUAGCUACAGGCUUAACACAUGCAAGUCGAGGGGAAACGAUGAGAGAGCUUGCUCUCUUAGUCGUCGACCGGCGCACGGGUGAGUAACGCGUAUCCAACCUGCCUCUGACCAAGGGAUAACCCGUCGAAAGUCGGACUAAUACCUUAUGCAGUCGUCGGAAGUCAUCUGAUGACGACGAAAGAUUUCAUCGGUGAGAGAUGGGGAUGCGUCUGAUUAGCUUGUUGGCGGGGUAACGGCCCACCAAGGCGACGAUCAGUAGGGGUUCUGAGAGGAAGGUCCCCCACAUUGGAACUGAGACACGGUCCAAACUCCUACGGGAGGCAGCAGUGAGGAAUAUUGGUCAAUGGGCGUAAGCCUGAACCAGCCAAGUAGCGUGCAGGAUGACGGCCCUAUGGGUUGUAAACUGCUUUUAUGCGGGGAUAAAGUGAGGGACGUGUCCUUCAUUGCAGGUACCGCAUGAAUAAGGACCGGCUAAUUCCGUG
Molecule: ribosomal RNA, 490 nt
Filed under: uncultured bacterium
Lineage: Bacteria
Description: partial 16S ribosomal RNA
Rfam family: Bacterial small subunit ribosomal RNA
Source: RNAcentral